AAAAUUAAAGUGGCCCAUGAAACACUGUUUAUUAGAUUCUACAGUAAAUAAUACUUACAAACUAUUUCACGAAAAUAUAAAUUAAGACUUAACAAACAUCUCUUAAUUGCUAAAGUAACAACGAGAGGAAGAAAUAUGUUAUUCCCAAUUCCAUAUCCACUCACCUGAAGCACCAAAAAAAGUUGCGUUGUGAUGAUAUCCUCAACCGACUGUAUGAGCUGUGAUGUUUAGCUACAUUAGUAAGGCUUUGUCCAGAGUUGCUCCUCAUAUUUUGACUGUGUCUUUGCAUCUUUGGGACGUUCACAAGUGCACUUCUUGCAGACCAUGUUGCUUCUGAAGUUCAAGAAGUCACAUGAGGGGCACUCCCAUUCUCCAGGAUUCAGCUGUCUCUUGGGACGCUGCUCUUGGCAGCGUAAACACUUGGUAUUGCUAGCAAAAUUCAUGAAUGUACAUUGUGGGCAAUUCCAAUCUCCCUUUUUCAUUUCUUUAACCACAGGAGCAUCUCGACUAGGUCCUUUUGAUUUGCAUCUCAGGCACUGUGCAUUGCGGGCGAAGUUCAUGAAAGUGCACUGCGAACAGAUCCAAUCUCCUUGCUUCAUUUCAACAUUUCUUUUAGGCAUUUCACCCUCAAGACCAGUUGAAUUUCUUCUUUUCAUUUCAACAUCUUCCAGACCAUCUGUCCUUGAGCCAACAGACUCUUUCUUUCUUGGAGAAGCCUUGGGGGCAGGUGUUAGAUGAUCAGGAUCAAUAGGUGUCUCACUUAAUUCAACCAACUCUGAGAGCAAUUGUCUUGCAGAUACCUCGAUAAGCUCACUACC
This 818-nucleotide unclassified non-coding RNA is filed under the name Hevea brasiliensis (rubber tree). Lineage: Eukaryota; Viridiplantae; Streptophyta; Magnoliopsida; Malpighiales; Euphorbiaceae. The record is from RNAcentral.